CCUACGGGUGGCAGCAGUGGGGAAUAUUGGGCAAUGGGCGCAAGCCUGACCCAGCAACGCCGCGUGAAGGAAGAAGGCUUUCGGGUUGUAAACUUCUUUUGUCAGGGACGAAGCAAGUGACGGUACCUGACGAAUACGCCACGGCUAACUACGUGCCAGCAGCCGCGGUAAUACGUAGGUGGCAAGCGUUAUCCGGAUUUACUGGGUGUAAAGGGCGUGUAGGCGGGUCUGUAAGUCAGAUGUGAAAGCCACGGGCUCAACCUGUGACUUGCAUUUGAAACUGUAGUUCUUGAGUACUGGAGAGGCAGACGGAAUUCGUGGUGUAGCGGUGAAAUGCGUAGAUAUUAGGAGGAACACCCGUGGCGAAGGCGGUCUGCUGGACAGCAACUGACGCUGAGGCGCGAAAGCGUGGGGAGCAAACAGGAUUAGAUACCCGGGUAGUC
This 443-nucleotide ribosomal RNA is filed under the name uncultured bacterium. RNAcentral's name for it is "partial 16S ribosomal RNA". It matches the Rfam family "Bacterial small subunit ribosomal RNA", at positions 338 to 795 of the family's 1533-position model. The record is from RNAcentral.